Molecule: ribosomal RNA, 375 nt
Filed under: uncultured bacterium
Lineage: Bacteria
Description: bacterial SSU rRNA
Rfam family: Bacterial small subunit ribosomal RNA
Source: RNAcentral
AUACGUAGGUGGCAAGCGUUGUCCGGAUUUACUGGGCGUAAAGGGAGCGUAGGUGGAUAUUUAAGUGGGAUGUGAAAUCCCCGGGCUUAACCUGGGGGCUGCAUUCCAAACUGGAUAUCUAGAGUGCAGGUGAGGAGAGUGGAAUUCCUAGUGUAGCGGUGAAAUGCGUAGAGAUUAGGAAGAACACCAGUGGCGAAGGCGACUCUCUGGACUGUAACUGACACUGAGGCUCGAAAGCGUGGGGAGCAAACAGGAUUAGAUACCCUGGUAGUCCACGCCGUAAACGAUGGGUACUAGGUGUAGGGGUUUCGAUACCUCUGUGCCGCCGUUAACACAAUAGGUACCCCGCCUGGGGAGUACGGUCGCAAGAUUAAA